GACGAACGCUGGCGGCGUGCUUAACACAUGCAAGUCGAACGGAAAGGCCCUGCUUUUGUGGGGUGCUCGAGUGGCGAACGGGUGAGUAACACGUGAGUAACCUGCACUUGACUUUGGGAUAACUUCAGGAAACUGGGGCUAAUACCGGAUAGGAGCUCCCGCUGCAUGGUGGGGGUUGGAAAGUUUCGGCGGUUGGGGAUGGACUCGCGGCUUAUCAGCUUGUUGGUGGGGUAGUGGCUUACCAAGGCUUGGCCAGGUAGCCGGGCUGAGAGGGUGACCGGCCACAUUGGGAUUGGGAUGCGGCCCAGACUCCUACGGGAGGCAGCGGUGGGGAAUAUUGUCCAGUGGGAGGAGGCCUGAUGCGGCAACGCCGCGUGGGGGAUGACGGCCUUCUGGUUGUAAACCGCUUUCGCCUGUGACGAAGCGUGAGUGACGGUAAUGGGUGAAGAAGCACCGGCUAACUACGUG
Molecule: ribosomal RNA, 468 nt
Filed under: uncultured bacterium
Lineage: Bacteria
Description: partial 16S ribosomal RNA
Rfam family: Bacterial small subunit ribosomal RNA
Source: RNAcentral